GUGCCAGCAGCCGCGGUAAUACGGAAGGUCCUGGCGUUAUCCGGAUUUAUUGGGUUUAAAGGGAGCGCAGGCCGGAGAUUAAGCGUGACGUGAAAUGCCGCGGCUCAACCGUGGAAGUGCGUCGCGAACUGGUUUCCUUGAGUGAGUUCGACGCCGGCGGAAUUCGUGGUGUAGCGGUGAAAUGCUUAGAUAUCACGAAGAACCCCGAUUGCGAAGGCAGCCGGCGAGGCCUUUACUGACGCUAAAGCUCGAAGGUGCGGGUAUCGAACAGGAUUAGAUACCCUGGUAGUCCGCACGGUAAACGAUGGAUGCCCGCUGUAUGCGAUACAAUGUAUGCGGCCAAGCGAAAGCGUUAAGCAUCCCACCUGGGGAGUACGCCGGCAACGGUGAAACUCAAGGGAAUUGACGGGGGCCCGCACAAGCGGAGGAACAUGUGGUUUAAUUCGAUGAUACGCGAGGAACCUUACCCGGGCUUGAACUGCAGCGGAAGGAUUGAGAGAUCAUGACGUCAGCAAUGACCGCUGUGGAGGUGCUGCAUGGUUGUCGUCAGCUCGUGCCGUGAGGUGUCGGCUUAAGUGCCAUAACGAGCGCAACCCCUGCUGUCAGUUGCCAUCAGGUUAUGCUGGGCACUCUGGCGGUACUGCCACCGUAAGGUGUGAGGAAGGUGGGGAUGACGUCAAAUCAGCACGGCCCUUACGUCCGGGGCUACACACGUGUUACAAUGGGGUGUACAGAGAGUCGUGUGCAUGCAAAUGCGCACCAAUCAUGAAAGCAUCCCUCAGUUCGGAUUGGGGUCUGCAACCCGACCCCAUGAAGCUGGAUUCGCUAGUAAUCGCGCAUCAGCCAUGGCGCGGUGAAUACGUUCCCGGGCCUUGUACACACCGCCCGU
This 889-nucleotide ribosomal RNA is filed under the name uncultured bacterium. Its description in RNAcentral is "bacterial SSU rRNA". It matches the Rfam family "Bacterial small subunit ribosomal RNA", at positions 505 to 1397 of the family's 1533-position model. The record is from RNAcentral.